Molecule: ribosomal RNA, 1030 nt
Filed under: human gut metagenome
Description: bacterial SSU rRNA
Rfam family: Bacterial small subunit ribosomal RNA
Source: RNAcentral
CGAGAGUGAGUUUACCCGUGAAAUAAGCACCGGCUAANUACGUGCCAGCAGCGCGGGUAAUACGUAGGGUGCAGCGUAUCCCGNNANUAUNNNGGCGUAAAGGGCUCGUAGGCGGUUCGUCGCGUCCGGUGUGAAAGUCCAUCGCUNANCGGUGGAUCCGCGCCGGGUACGGGCGGGCUUGAGUGCGGUAGGGGAGACUGGAAUUCCCGGUGUAACGGUGGAAUGUGUAGAUAUCGGGAAGACCACCAAUGGCGAAGGCAGGUCUCUGGGCCGUUACUGACGCUGAGGAGCGAAAGCGUGGGGAGCGAACAGGAUUAGAUACCCUGGUAGUCCACGCCGUAAACGGUGGAUGCUGGAUGUGGGGCCCGUUCCACGGGUUCCGUGUCGGAGCUAACGCGUUAAGCAUCCCGCCUGGGGAGUACGGCCGCAAGGCUAAAACUCAAAGAAAUUGACGGGGGCCCGCACAAGCGGCGGAGCAUGCGGAUUAAUUCGAUGCAACGCGAAGAACCUUACCUGGGUUUGACAUGUUCCCGACGGUCGUAGAGAUACGGCUUCCCUUCGGGGCGGGUUCACAGGUGGUGCAUGGUCGUCGUCAGCUCGUGUCGUGAGAUGUUGGGUUAAGUCCCGCAACGAGCGCAACCCUCGCCCCGUGUUGCCAGCGGAUUAUGCCGGGAACUCACGGGGGACCGCCGGGGUUAACUCGGAGGAAGGUGGGGAUGACGUCAGAUCAUCAUGCCCCUUACGUCCAGGGCUUCACGCAUGCUACAAUGGCCGGUACAACGGGAUGCGACGCGGCGACGCGGAGCGGAUCCCUGAAAACCGGUCUCAGUUCGGAUCGCAGUCUGCAACUCGACUGCGUGAAGGCGGAGUCGCUAGUAAUCGCGAAUCAGCAACGUCGCGGUGAAUGCGUUCCCGGGCCUUGUACACACCGCCCGUCAAGUCAUGAAAGUGGGCAGCACCCGAAGCCGGUGGCCUAACCCCUUGUGGGAUGGAGCCGUCUAAGGUGAGGCUCGUGAUGGGACUAAGUCGU